Molecule: ribosomal RNA, 431 nt
Filed under: uncultured bacterium
Lineage: Bacteria
Description: partial 16S ribosomal RNA
Rfam family: Bacterial small subunit ribosomal RNA
Source: RNAcentral
AACGAACGCUGGCGGCAUGCCUAACACAUGCAAGUCGAACGAGACCUUCGGGUCUAGUGGCGCACGGGUGCGUAACGCGUGGGAACCUGCCCUUAGGUUCGGAAUAACUCCCCGAAAGGGGUGCUAAUACCGGAUAAUGUCUUCGGACCAAAGAUUUAUCGCCUUUGGAUGGGCCCGCGUUGGAUUAGCUAGUUGGUAGGGUAAAAGCCUACCAAGGCGACGAUCCAUAGCUGGUCUGAGAGGAUGAUCAGCCACACUGGGACUGAGACACGGCCCAGACUCCUACGGGAGGCAGCAGUGGGGAAUAUUGGACAAUGGGCGAAAGCCUGAUUCAGCAAUGCCGCGUGAGUGAUGAAGGCCUUAGGGUUGUAAAGCUCUUUUACCCGGGAUGAUAAUGACAGUACCGGGAGAAUAAGCUCCGGCUAACUCCG